AGAACCACUGACUUAUGUGGUCAGAAGUGAUCGACUCCCUGGGCUGGGAAGCUCCAAUUUUCUCCUCCAGAUUUCCUGUGUCGCCCUCUCCUCCCUGUCCUCUGCCCCAUUAGGGAGGAUGCAUGGAUUCCUUCAGCAAGCUCUUUGUCCUUCGGUUUCCAGUGAAAAGGCUGGCAUAGAAGCUGUCUGAAUCUAUGAAAUCAAAAAAGGAUCAAAGUAGAGACACAAAUUCCUCUGAACUUGAAAUUGAAAUGAGUGUGUUGCCAGCAUCUAUUCAUCCGCCUAAAACCAAGUAAAUCAUUUCAGAAGAAGUUUUCAGCAGUCUAUCAAAGUGACAAGAGUGGUGAGGUAGUAAAGUAGAAACGCAUUGACAACUUUAUUCCUAUUGACUGGAUAAAUAAUCUUCAUGACUCAAAGUGAUGAAACGCAUCAGAAAUAGAAGCAAAAUGUUCACGUUUCAGUCCGUGAGUAGGGCUUGAAUCCCACAGGAGGAAUUAAGAAAAAGAAGCGAACACUCGGAGGAUAACAUCGCAAUAUUACUUAGCCAUUAUUCUUUACAGUGUUAGGCCCCUUCCAGAGAUGUUUGACUGAUUUGUUGCUUGUCCACGUAGAUGCGUGAAUACACUAAAUAGUCAUCAAAUAUGGGUCAAGUAGUGUGCUGGUUGUUUUACGUAUGUUCUCCUUUAAUUUACCCAACAAUAUUGUGACAUAUCAUCAUUAUUUUAAGAAUGAGAAAGCUUAAAGUUAAUAGAGAUUAAAAAAUAAUUUUCCAACUCUCUAUAAUGAGCA
Molecule: long non-coding RNA, 789 nt
Organism: Homo sapiens (human)
Lineage: Eukaryota; Metazoa; Chordata; Mammalia; Primates; Hominidae
Source: Ensembl